RNAcentral lists this ribosomal RNA (801 nucleotides) under uncultured bacterium. RNAcentral describes it as "bacterial SSU rRNA". It matches the Rfam family "Bacterial small subunit ribosomal RNA", at positions 65 to 875 of the family's 1533-position model. The record is from RNAcentral.
AGCGAUGAACCGUGCUUGCACGGUGGAUUAGCGGCGAAAGGGAGAGUAACGCGUAGGUAUGUACCCUCAGGUCCGGGAUAGCGGCGGGAAACUGCCGGUAAUACCGGAUAACGUGUCAGCACCAAAGGUGUGAUUCCGCCUGAGGAGCGGCCUGCGUCCUAUUAGGUUGUUGGUGGGGUAAUGGCCUACCAAGCCGAAGAUGGGUACCGGGUGUGAGAGCAUGGCCCGGCUCACUGGGACUGAGACACUGCCCAGACACCUACGGGUGGCUGCAGUCGAGAAUCUUCCGCAAUGGACGAAAGUCUGACGGAGCGACGCCGCGUGCGGGAUGAAGGCCUUCGGGUUGUAAACCGCUGUCAGAGAGGCGGAAAUGCAUGGGGGUUAUCCCCCGUGUUUGACCUAAUCUCAGAGGAAGCGCAGGCUAAGUUCGUGCCAGCAGCCGCGGUAACACGAACUGCGCGAACGUUAUUCGGAAUCACUGGGCUUAAAGAGUCCGUAGGCGGCCUGGAGGGUGGGGUGUGAAAUCCCACAGCUCAACUGUGGAAUUGCGCUUCAAACCGCCAGGCUAGAGGGAGUCAGGGGUGAGCGGAACUGAUGGUGGAGCGGUGAAAUGCGUUGAUAUCAUCAGGAACACCGGUGGCGAAGGCGGCUCACUGGGGCUCUUCUGACGCUGAGGGACGAAAGCUAGGGGAGCGAACGGGAUUAGAUACCCCGGUAGUCCUAGCUGUAAACGAUGAGCACUGGGUCGAGGAAACCUCCACAUUUUCUCGGCCGUAGCGAAAGCGUUAAGUGCCCCGCCUG